Molecule: long non-coding RNA, 817 nt
Filed under: Felis catus (domestic cat)
Lineage: Eukaryota; Metazoa; Chordata; Mammalia; Carnivora; Felidae
Description: lncRNA (ENSFCAG00000046386.2)
Source: RNAcentral
GAGAGGAGCCCUGACUUGUUAGAUUCCUCUCUGUCCUUGUCAUCAGAAUGGAUGCCCAAGGCAAUGGAAAUUCUACUUCUUAUUAAGGCUGCUGGACACCAAGGUGAAUCUUUGAAGUGAGUCAGCUGCAGCUUCGCUCUCCUAUAAUUGAAGAGAGAGAGAAUUACAGAGAAAGAGGCCAGGCACUCUUUCCUCCAGACAAAGCUGUGGUUUCAAUUUCUCAUUCCCUACCGAGAGACGGGGAGAAUACAUUGAUACUGCAUUUCAAAUUGGCUAGAUCAGAAGGAACAGCAGCUAAAAUCCAUUACAACCCAAUUACAUCCAUCAGCUGAAGCUGUGUGCAUUCACUCGUGAACAUCAGCAUUUAAUCCAUAAAGAGGAACUAAUGAGAAAUUUGAAAAUGGAAUCCACGCAUCAGUAAGUUUGGAGAGAUUUUUCUGGGAUUAAUGAUCUGCCAGAGCAUCUUCAACAUGCUGGAAAGCUAUUCUCUCUGGGUUUGUUUACUGACCAAGAGAAAAAAAUAAGGGGGUUUCCUUCUGUCUACUCAUCAAAUAUUUGAAAGACUUGACUCAUCUUAGUCCUUGAAAACGGGAUGUCGUGUGCUUUGGAAAUAAGGAAAUUUGAUGCUUACAAAAAACAUAGAAGAAUGGAGUCAGGGGUUGCCACAGCAUUAAAGAAUCCAAGGACAAUGGUCACAGCUGCAAUCCAGACGCCAAGAAGCUGCAGCUGCUGCUACUUCGGCUGCGCAUGUAACUGCCUCUCAAUAGUUUGGGCAGAACUGGUGACGAGACAAAAACGGGAAGUAUGCUACAAGUAA